RNAcentral lists this ribosomal RNA (496 nucleotides) under uncultured bacterium. RNAcentral's name for it is "partial 16S ribosomal RNA". It matches the Rfam family "Bacterial small subunit ribosomal RNA", at positions 28 to 506 of the family's 1533-position model. The record is from RNAcentral.
GACGAACGCUGGCGGCGUGCCUAAUACAUGCAAGUAGAACGCUGAAGAGAGGAGCUUGCUCUUCUUGGAUGAGUUGCGAACGGGUGAGUAACGCGUAGGUAACCUGCCUUGUAGCGGGGGAUAACUAUUGGAAACGAUAGCUAAUACCGCAUAACAAUGGAUGACCCAUGUCAUUUAUUUGAAAGGGGCAAAUGCUCCACUACAAGAUGGACCUGCGUUGUAUUAGCUAGUAGGUGAGGUAACGGCUCACCUAGGCGACGAUACAUAGCCGACCUGAGAGGGGGAACGCCCCAACUGGGCCGGAAACACGGCCCAGACUCCUACGGGGGGCAGCAGUAGGGAAGCUUCGGAAAGGGGGGAAACCCUGACCGAGCAACGCCGCGGGGGUGAAAAAGGUUUUCGGAUCGUAAAGCUCUGUUGUAAGUAAAAAACGGGUGGGGGGGGGGAAAGUUCACCCUGUGCGGGUAGCUUACCAAAAAGGGCCGGCUAACUACGU